This 3460-nucleotide ribosomal RNA is filed under the name Triticum aestivum (bread wheat). RNAcentral's name for it is "partial small subunit ribosomal RNA". The record is from RNAcentral. Lineage: Eukaryota; Viridiplantae; Streptophyta; Magnoliopsida; Poales; Poaceae.
CCGCUUUUACUUUCUACACUGCUUGUACUUAACUACAUUCAAAUAACGGCUGAAGGACGUACUACGUAAGAGUUCGUUCUACAUGGUCUUCCCAACAGUUGACGUAAAUUACAAGUACAUGCAGCUGACAGAAUAGACAGGUAGUACCUAAAGUGACCCUGUCCUCCGGGUGGCGGAUGCGUGUUCAAAUGACAAAGACGUACUUGAUAGCUACAACAGUUCCAACACGAACGACGUCUGUCCCAUUGACUAUAGUUUAUACCUUUUGACGUCGACUACCGGUUCGUACGAUAUCUGAUGUCGUACAAACCCCCGGGAGUUUUGAAACCUUUCACCUACCUGUACUUGAGUCGAGGCAGAAAGGGAUGACUCCGCUCCCGUGGACAACUCGUAGAUUAACCCGUCAAACGUAGGCCUUACUGGCCGAACGAGCCCUUCAACCAACUCCCCACCUGCAGGGAAUUACCGAGGCUGUCGCUGCGCCAACACUCCAUCAAGUGAUGUAAAUAGGGUCUUGCCUGUGUAGCAGGUUGACCAACGGCACCUGCCAUACUGAUGUCGUUAAGGGUUCUCGAACGAUUGUGUGUUCUACUUGAUCUACCUCUGCGACCAGAAUCAUUCCUACUGCUGCUACUGUGCCUCUUGCACGUUAUCCUGUGACUACUACUACUUAUACAACUUCAAGCACGUCCAUCAUUCUUCCCGUUCCUACGUGGUCUACAGGGGGUGGCCUCUUUCAGUUUCUUGUAUGCCGACGCUUUCCGCUCCCCCACAACGGUAGUUUCUCCCCCUCCCGAAGUCUCCUACAACCCGUCCCAAGAGGACCGUUCUCCAAAUCCUGGAUAGGGCAUCGACGAUCCUCCUCACUCCGCUGUCGACCACCUGCUCGUCAAUGCUUCUUUGUCCGUGGUUGCGGUUGGGCACAAAGACGAGCCAACUUGUUUCCACGGGGUAACAACCACUGUAGGGAAAGUGGUCCAGUAGAGGAGCAUGCUGCUACAGGUUGUAGCCCCUAGGACAGCACAACGAUCUGGACUCUUUCGGUCAGUUCUUCCACUUCUUCUGAUGAUAUGCGCCCCGGUUCGUAUAGUAAUCCCUGGGUGAGCUUGCGGAAGUAAGUUUCAACAGUUGUCCCCCGUUGAGUCUACAAGUACUCCGCGGUCAGCUGUUUUGACGACAAUGUAGCAAUUGACAAGGGUGAUUGAGACUGCGUUCACCGGCUGGUAGAGGCGGCCAACGUCUACACGUCCAAUCUUGUUGUCCGUAGGUAUGUAGUCCCUCACUGCUCAGCCAUAGACGAUCCUGUCGACUUUAUAACGGUUGAGAAGACCAUUACUUCCUACAACGACACUCGGUACGGUAGGGUAGUCGUUCGCAACUUCACCUGCGAGGGUUCUGGUUGGAUUCGUUCCUUCUAAGGGCGAGUAGACUGUGAUUAAGGUUCGCGCACACACCACCGUGAAGAUACAGAUGCUGUCUUCACCGACUCCGCCGUCAAGUAUUACUAUACGGUAGAUGUCCAUCCUCAGAACCGUGUUGUCGAGGUCGAGGACAGCCACGUCUAUGGGGAUUCCGCUGACAAAGUGCACGACCAGAAGGUGGCUCCACAGCAUCGGUGGCGUUCGUUAGUUGACUGUAUGGGUUGCGUGGUCGACAUCGAUCCUCAUCGUCUCUACUCAGACCAAUACAAGAACACAGGUGUGACAAGGACGGUGGAAGGUUUUCGUUACACUACCUCUUUGGCCUUCUGGCUUCGUGUUGACUACGUCCACAGUUCGGCCCGUGCUCACUGCGUCCACUUGCGGGCCUCGUCUGACGCGGAAAUGGGCGUCACCUUUAGGGGUCAAAUUUAGACGCGUGAAGGUCCGAGGGUCAGUUACAACCACAGGGAAUGUCGGGUUUGUUCUUCUAAUAGUUCCUUCGACGCCGACUAUGACGACUGUUAUGCGGGGCGGGAUGUUUAUUCAGGCUAGUAAGACAUCGCCGGCUAAGUCUAUACAAACAACUAGAAAGUGGGUACCUAAGGCGGGGCGUUCAACAAGUGCCAGGCCGGUCAUCCGUACUCUCCGUGGGUUACCGGAAGUGGGGUAGCUCGAAGUCGGAACCGUAGUCAGUUCUAGUUGGUCACCACGGUCUAGAAUACGGUCAACGGAAACGAAAGAGCCCUCCGUACGGGCGUUACUACCGCGUUGGUUACCAGCUCCCGUCCUUCCAACAGUUCAAGCGUCUCGGCUAGCAGGUUCCGUGGGGACUCUUCUAAAGUGGCAGUGAACUACCUCGAAUGGCGUCCUAGCUCCUCCGUCGUAACGUCUCCUCCAGGAGUGCUCCAGUCCCCGUUAGUUCAAGGUUACACGGACGUCUAUGCCAUAGACUCCUAUGGUAAUCCUCACGGUGGGGACCAAGACGCUCCGUCGUCUCCCAUCAAGUGGGUGGAGGGCGCCUUCUGAUGCUCGGGCUUCAGUCCCGGUGUUUCUUUGUCUGGGUCAACAUGCUAUAACAGUUCGCUAAACUUUUACGCUCCUGGUCGUCGUUCGUGUACUUCCUCGACUUUCGUUGGUUCCAGUAAGUUACGCUUCGCUGUAUGCAACUGGACCCACUAGAACGGCUCAGGCACUCCGGUUUGCCAUUUUACAGCUGCUUACAUCAACGUACGCCCUAACUGAUGUAGUUGUUCGUAUACCUAUACAGAGGGCUGUUUUGUUAGUACGUAAUGUCACACUGGACGUUUUAUACCCUACCACUGAAAGUGGUGUUUUAGGACUCUUUCUUAAAACGAGUUGUGCCAGUUAAGUUCGAGUGUGACUUCUUUAUACAGGACAAGGAGUACAAGGUCCUCGAACGUGGUGUGCUGGGUGUGCUGUUCACACCAGUGGUGAUGCACUAAACAGAACUGGAUUUCUUGGUUACGAAACUCCACGAACUAAGUUACACAAGCCGUCGGCUACGUCUGGAAUGAAGCGUACGACUUAAGAAGUAGUUGUUGCAGUUUCUCUGUACCUUGGCAGUGAUGCUUUUGAGUUUCCAGGUCUAGUCUGUAAAAGGCUAACUCUGCCUGACACCGAAAGUGUGCAACUUUAUGGAACGUUUCACCCUUCCAUCUGAACAAGGGCGACAGUGUCGACGUUGCCAGCAACUCGAGACCUUUAAAAUGUGUACCUUGACCAACUGCUUACUUCUAAAGUUGUUCGCCAGGCCUCGUGCGCUCAAGCACCUCCUUUGACUGUUCUUUCAGUAGUUCUUCAUGUUCACUAGUGUACCGUAAUGUGUGACCUGCGUAUGGAAUGUAAGACAACGGCUCCUUACAUUCCAUGAUGUAAGACAAGAAGAGUUUGUGAUACAAGCACACGAUACGAUACUGACGUUGGGGCUCAUCGGAUCAUGCGUCACCACCAAGCACUCACUGUAAACUUAUAAAAGACAUUAUAAAACACACCUAUACUUGGAUAAAGUCCACACUAUC